Molecule: transfer RNA, 72 nt
Filed under: Brucella suis bv. 4 str. 40
Lineage: Bacteria; Pseudomonadati; Pseudomonadota; Alphaproteobacteria; Hyphomicrobiales; Brucellaceae
Also listed under: 1 other name
Description: tRNA-Val
Rfam family: tRNA
About the family: Transfer RNA (tRNA) molecules are approximately 80 nucleotides in length. Their secondary structure includes four short double-helical elements and three loops (D, anti-codon, and T loops).
Source: RNAcentral
GGUGUAGCUCAGCGGGAGAGCACUACGUUGACAUCGUAGGGGUCACAGGUUCAAUCCCUGUCACGCCCACCA